Molecule: ribosomal RNA, 366 nt
Filed under: uncultured soil bacterium
Lineage: Bacteria
Description: bacterial SSU rRNA
Rfam family: Bacterial small subunit ribosomal RNA
Source: RNAcentral
CACUUGGGGAUGAGCUUGCGAACCAUCAGCUGGUUGGUAGGGUAAUGGCCUACCAAGGCUAAGACGGUUAGCUGGUCUGAGAGGAUGGUCAGCCACAUUGGGACUGAGACACUGCCCAGACUCCUACGGGAGGCUGCAGUCGAGAAUAUUUAGCAAUGGACGAAAGUCUGACUAUGCGACGCCGCGUGCAGGAUGAAGGUCUUCGGAUUGUAAACUACUUUUGUAAGGGGAGAAUGACGGUACCUGACGAAUAAGCCACGGCUAACUCCGUGCCAGCAGCCGCGGUAAUACGGAGGUGGCAAGCGUUACUCGGAAUUAUUGGGUGUCAAGGGCAGGUAGGCGGCAUUGUAAGUGAGGGGUGAAAUC